This 271-nucleotide long non-coding RNA is filed under the name Aedes aegypti (yellow fever mosquito). RNAcentral's name for it is "lncRNA AAEL021969". The record is from RNAcentral. Lineage: Eukaryota; Metazoa; Arthropoda; Insecta; Diptera; Culicidae.
ACAAUAAUGGGUAAAAAAGCCACUUGUCGUUAUAUGGAGUGAAAACUUUGAAUAUUUUGCCACGAAUUAUAUAUCAUUAAUUUGUAGAAAGAAUCAUGAACCCUCGAAGAAACAUGGAAAGCGGCAAUUAGAGAGCGUUUUUUUCAUCCGGGAUCUGGAACAGGAAGAUAUGGAGUAAGAGACACGGACAAUGAAAAAUUCAACGUAAAAGUAUCCCAAUUAGCAGUUUAUUCAUAAGUAAUCAUCUAAUAAAAUGAUGUUCAUUAGACUA